CGCCGCGAUGGUGCACACGUUCGGCAACCCGACGCUCCUGCCGGUCGUGGUGGCGGGGUUCCUGUUCGUCCUGCUGGUGCUGCACCGUCCGGGGCGC
Molecule: transfer RNA, 97 nt
Filed under: Actinoallomurus iriomotensis
Lineage: Bacteria; Bacillati; Actinomycetota; Actinomycetes; Streptosporangiales; Thermomonosporaceae
Description: tRNA-Arg
Source: RNAcentral